GAUGAACGCUAGCUACAGGCUUAACACAUGCAAGUCGAGGGGUAACGAGAGGAAAGCUUGCUUUCCUUGUCGACGACCGGCGCACGGGUGAGUAACGCGUAUCCAACCUGCCCCCAACUAGGGAAUAACCUUGCGAAAGUAAGACUAAUACCCUAUAAUUUCCUCAGAUGUCAUCUGACGAGGAAUAAAGAUUUAUCGGUUGUGGAUGGGGAUGCGUCUGAUUAGCUUGUUGGCGGGGUAACGGCCCACCAAGGCAACAAUCAGUAGGGGUGCUGAGAGGAAGGUCCCCCACAUUGGAACUGAGACACGGUCCAAACUCCUACGGGAGGCAGCAGUGAGGAAUAUUGGUCAAUGGGCGGAAGCCUGAACCAGCCAAGUAGCGUGCAGGAUGACGGCCCUAUGGGUUGUAAACUGCUUUUAUACAGGAAUAAAGUUAGCCACGUGUGGUUAUUUGUAGGUACUGUAUGAAUAAGGACCGGCUAAUUCCGUGCCAACAGCCGCAGUAA
This 506-nucleotide ribosomal RNA is filed under the name uncultured bacterium. Its description in RNAcentral is "partial 16S ribosomal RNA". It matches the Rfam family "Bacterial small subunit ribosomal RNA", at positions 28 to 523 of the family's 1533-position model. The record is from RNAcentral.